UGGGAAGUAACUACUCUGUUGGAGGGAGUCUUCAUAAUGACCUUAGGGAGGGAGGUGGUUGCAGGAUGGUGGGGGCAGCUUGGUUUGUUUUAACUGUAUUAAUGCAUUCAGUGCUCCAGCAAGACUGUGCUACUGAAGUUGGAAAGUAAGGCCCUGUGGGUUUCCACCAAGGACACAAAAAAAUAAUCUGAUGCCAGAUGAUAUCAGUAAUCCACUCCCCUAUAAUCAGUGGUAUUCAAGCAGCAGAGGCUUCCAAAAAAAAGGUACUUCUGUGGCUGUUUCAGCUGGUUCUUGAACUUUGAGCUUAAGCUUCUCUAUCGUGCAGCUUUUCUAUUAUUAUUAUUUUUUAAUUUUAAGAUUAUUUCUUGAUACAGUAUUAAAAAAAGAAAAGAAAAAAAUAUUAGUUUUCUAACAUUUCUGCGACUUUCAGUAACUGCACCAAAAAUGUACUUUGUUUUUGUUUUGCUCUGUGAUCCUGCCCUUAUUAAUUUCAGACUUUGCCAGACACUUUUGCCAGAUACAACCUCCUAUUUGUGAGCUUUUCUUUGCAAAAGAAACCUUCCUAUUCUUAUGAAAACGUCUAGUGAAUUCUUAUGAUCAGAUUUGGACAGCUAGCUGAGGAAAGAAUGCUGAG
Molecule: long non-coding RNA, 634 nt
Filed under: Anas zonorhyncha (Eastern spot-billed duck)
Lineage: Eukaryota; Metazoa; Chordata; Aves; Anseriformes; Anatidae
Description: lncRNA (ENSAZOG00000008103.1)
Source: RNAcentral